GGAAAAGUUUGUUUGGGGGCUCGCUAUUUCAGAGGUCUCAAUCCAUAGAUGGCCAGCUUCAUUCCUCGGGCCCUGAGAUGAGGCAGAACAUCAUGGAGAAAGAGUAUGGCAGAGGGAAGUGGCUCAGGAAGCGAUACCAGGAAGCAGAGAGAGAGAGAGAGCCCCUCUUACCAUGGACAAAAUAUAAACCCCAAAGGCAUGCCUCCAAUGACCCACCUCCUCCAACAACACUCGACAGUUACCACCCAGCAAAUGCCUAUAGGAGAGUAAUGUGCUGAACAGAUGAAGGCUCUCAUAACCCAAUUAUUCCACCUCUAAACUUUCUUGCAUUGUCUCAUACAUAAACUUUUGGGGGACACCUCAGAUAUAAACCCUGUAACACCUUGCCGCAGUCUGGCUGGGCACAAAUCACAAGCCACUCAAGCAGGGACAAACUUUAUUUCCAAACUCCACCAGCACACUCCCCGGGAACUUUCCCGAACGCCACCCACGCGGCUCCUCCAGGAACACACCACACACCAAGGGAACUCCUACCACCGGAACUUCACCAACCAACGCGAACUCUUCAGGAAUCCCCACGAGAGCUCAACCGGAACUCAACAGGAACUCCGAGAGAACUCAAAAGUCACCAUCUUAAUGGCUCGCUGGCGUCACCUCUCAACCACUACUUCUGGCAAAAAUGCCAUGCGUCAUCCCGACUUGGCUGUGGCCCUCAACAACACCUGACAAGAGCAACUUAGAGGAGGAAAAGUUUAUUUGCGGUUCAUAGUUUCUGUUUUUUAGACAGCCAGUCCAAUGUUCUGGCCCAAGGUAAGGCAGCACAUCACAGGAAGGACACCUCGGAGGGAAGCUGCUCACUUCCUGGCAGCUGAAAAACAGACAGAAAGGAGGGGCUUCAGGGAAGUUGCACCCUUCCAGGGCUUUCCCCCAGUGACCCUCCCUCCAGCCAUGCCACACCUGCCUCCAGCUACCACCCAGUCAUUUAAAGGAGGAUGCACUGAUUAGGUUACAGCUCUCAUUAUCAGAUUAUUUCACCUCCGAAUAUUCCUGCACUAGCAGGACCUUUUGGAAGACACUGAAUAUCCAAACCAUAACAAUCACUGUGCUACCAUGCCUUUCGUCUAUGUGAUAGAUUUUGCUUGCAAACUUUGAGAGACAGUUUUCAUGAGAACACCAGAAAAAUAUGAUCAAAGCAAAGGGCAAUAAAAAUUUACAAUUCAAGCAAAGAAUAGAAGGAGCCGCUAGAAGUUGGGGGUGGGAAGAAUAUGGAGAUGGCAGCCAAGUGUACACAAGCCUCACUUAGACAUGAGGAAUAACUGGAUUUCUUGGGACCUGUUGCACAGUGUGGUGAAUAUGGUUAAUAAUAAUGUAUCAUAUAUUUCAAAAAUCACUGAGUAAAUUUCAAAUGUUUCCACCACAAAAAGUGAUAAGUAUUUGAAAUGAUGGAUGUUAAUUAAUGUAAUUUUUCAUUGUUUUCAUAAAUAAUCUUACUUUGUA
Molecule: long non-coding RNA, 1497 nt
Filed under: Marmota monax (woodchuck)
Lineage: Eukaryota; Metazoa; Chordata; Mammalia; Rodentia; Sciuridae
Source: RNAcentral